AUGAUGUAUGUGAUAUAUUUGAAUCAACAAGCUAUGCGAUUUUUUUCAUUACGCAAUACAAAAGUAUGUUGCUACACCUUAUUUUCAAGGAAUACAGAAAUAUAUUGCUAUACCUUAUUUUCAGCAGUUAUAAAAUAUGUAUUCAAUUUAAUAGUUUUGAUAGAAUGCUCAUGUCAAGUUGCUAAUGUGGUUGGACAGAGAAAAAAUAUAUUGAAUUCAGUUGUUUUCAAUAGGCAGUGUGAUUUAUUAUUAAUUAGGAAAUACAGAAAAAAUGUGUGUAGGUAUCUUGAUUCUCUUAGAUGCCACUCCUGGUCAUGUCAUUUUUAA
Molecule: ribosomal RNA, 327 nt
Filed under: Triticum aestivum (bread wheat)
Lineage: Eukaryota; Viridiplantae; Streptophyta; Magnoliopsida; Poales; Poaceae
Description: partial small subunit ribosomal RNA
Source: RNAcentral